RNAcentral lists this transfer RNA (75 nucleotides) under Candidatus Dormiibacterota bacterium. RNAcentral's name for it is "tRNA-Gln". It matches the Rfam family "tRNA". From Rfam's summary of the family: Transfer RNA (tRNA) molecules are approximately 80 nucleotides in length. Their secondary structure includes four short double-helical elements and three loops (D, anti-codon, and T loops). Further hydrogen bonds mediate the characteristic L-shaped molecular structure. tRNAs have two regions of fundamental functional importance: the anti-codon, which is responsible for specific mRNA codon recognition, and the 3' end, to which the tRNAs corresponding amino acid is attached (by aminoacyl-tRNA synthetases). tRNAs cope with the degeneracy of the genetic code in two manners: having more than one tRNA (with a specific anti-codon) for a particular amino acid; and 'wobble' base-pairing, i.e. permitting non-standard base-pairing at the 3rd anti-codon position. The record is from RNAcentral. Lineage: Bacteria; Bacillati; Candidatus Dormiibacterota. RNAcentral also lists the same sequence under 3 other names.
UGGGGAGUGGCCAAAUGGUAAGGCAGCUCGCUCUGGACGAGAAGAUUGCAGGUUCGACUCCUGCCUCCCCAGCCA